AUGACGACCGGCGCACGGGUGCGUAACGCGUACGCAACCUACCUCUUACUGGGGAAUAGCCCGGAGAAAUCCGGAUUAAUGCCCCAUAGUAUUAUUUAAUCGCAUGAUUUGAAUAAUUAAAGGUUACGGUAAGAGAUGGGCAUGCGUCCUAUUAGCUAGAUGGUAAGGUAACGGCUUACCAUGGCAACGAUAGGUAGGGGGCCUGAGAGGGUGAUCCCCCACACUGGUACUGAGACACGGACCAG
This 245-nucleotide ribosomal RNA is filed under the name uncultured bacterium. RNAcentral's name for it is "partial 16S ribosomal RNA". It matches the Rfam family "Bacterial small subunit ribosomal RNA", at positions 88 to 334 of the family's 1533-position model. The record is from RNAcentral.